GACAAACGCUGGCGGGGUGCGUGAGACAUGCAAGUCGAACGGGGUUCAUCGGGCUUGCUCGGUGAACCUAGUGGCGGACGGCUGAGUAACGCGUAGGUGACCUGCCCGGAAGUGGGGAAUAACUGCCCGAAAGGGUGGCUAAUACCGCAUGUGGUCGGCGAAUCAGUUCGUCGUCCAAAGCCGCAAGGCGCUUCCGGAGGGGCCUGCGUCCGAUUAGCUAGUUGGUGGGGUAAUGGCUCACCAAGGCGACGAUCGGUAGCUGGUCUGAGAGGAUGAUCAGCCAGACUGGGACUGAGACACGGCCCAGACUCCUACGGGAGGCAGCAGUGGGGAAUAUUGGACAAUGGGCGAAAGCCUGAUCCAGCGAUGCCGCGUGUGUGAAGAAGGCCUGCGGGUUGUAAAGCAC
Molecule: ribosomal RNA, 406 nt
Filed under: uncultured bacterium
Lineage: Bacteria
Description: bacterial SSU rRNA
Rfam family: Bacterial small subunit ribosomal RNA
Source: RNAcentral